Molecule: ribosomal RNA, 703 nt
Filed under: uncultured Staphylococcus sp.
Lineage: Bacteria; Bacillati; Bacillota; Bacilli; Caryophanales; Staphylococcaceae
Description: bacterial SSU rRNA
Rfam family: Bacterial small subunit ribosomal RNA
Source: RNAcentral
CUAAUACAUGCAAGUCGAGCGAACGGACGAGAAGCUUGCUUCUCUGAUGUUAGCGGCGGACGGGUGAGUAACACGUGGAUAACCUACCUAUAAGACUGGGAUAACUUCGGGAAACCGGAGCUAAUACCGGAUAAUAUUUUGAACCGCAUGGUUCAAAAGUGAAAGACGGUCUUGCUGUCACUUAUAGAUGGAUCCGCGCUGCAUUAGCUAGUUGGUAAGGUAACGGCUUACCAAGGCAACGAUGCAUAGCCGACCUGAGAGGGUGAUCGGCCACACUGGAACUGAGACACGGUCCAGACUCCUACGGGAGGCAGCAGUAGGGAAUCUUCCGCAAUGGGCGAAAGCCUGACGAAGCAACGCCGCGUGAGUGAUGAAGGUCUUCGGAUCGUAAAACUCUGUUAUUAGGGAAGAACAUAUGUGUAAGUAACUGUGCACAUCUUGACGGUACCUAAUCAGAAAGCCACGGCUAACUACGUGCCAGCAGCCGCGGUAAUACGUAGGUGGCAAGCGUUAUCCGGAAUUAUUGGGCGUAAAGCGCGCGUAGGCGGUUUUUUAAGUCUGAUGUGAAAGCCCACGGCUCAACCGUGGAGGGUCAUUGGAAACUGGAGAACUUGAGUGCAGAAGAGGAAAGUGGAAUUCCAUGUGUAGCGGUGAAAUGCGCAGAGAUAUGGAGGAACACCAGUGGCGAAGGCGACUUUCUGGU